This 253-nucleotide ribosomal RNA is filed under the name uncultured bacterium. Its description in RNAcentral is "partial 16S ribosomal RNA". It matches the Rfam family "Bacterial small subunit ribosomal RNA", at positions 524 to 776 of the family's 1533-position model. The record is from RNAcentral.
UACGGAGGGUGCAAGCGUUAUCCGGAUUCACUGGGUUUAAAGGGUGCGUAGGUGGGUUGGUAAAUCAGUGGUGAAAUCUCCAGGCUUAACUUGGAAACUGCCAUUGAUACUAUCAAUCUUGAAUACCGUGGAGGUCAGCGGAAUAUGUCAUGUAGCGGUGAAAUGCUUAGAUAUGACAUAGAACACCAAUUGCGAAGGCAGCUGGCUACACAAAUAUUGACGCUGAGGCACGAAAGCGUGGGGAUCAAACAGG